GCAGCUUGUGGGGUGCCCUGGGGCCUCCCAGAGCAGGUGGCACUCCUGGUAGGUGAGGCUCUGUGGCCCUACAGGGCCACCGCAAUGGCGGGUGGUAAAUAACCCCACAGCAAGGGGCAGUGUCCCACACGUGCUGUGGGCUGUGGCAGCCCUGCUGAUCUUGGUGUGCUCCCUGGCGUGCCUGCGUGAGGCCUGGUGUGCGCUCACCUAGGCUGGCGGCUCUGCUCUCAUACUCCCGCGGACCUAUCCCACGGGGACAGGGAUGGGUGAGUCAGAGGCACGAGAGGAAGCAGUCCUGGUGCAUGAGCCCAUUGGAAGCCGCUGCGCGUUCUGGGUCUGCUCGUAUCCCGUCGGUCCAGCACCCAGGUGGGAGUGGGGCUGAGAGCUACUGGGCACGGGGUAGCCUGAAGGACCAUCUGCCCCCGGGGUGGAGCCAGGACUGGAGCUGAGGGCUCUGGCAGUGGUUGCCCCCUCACCUUUGCCCUCCUGGAGCCUGGCCCAAGGUCACCCAGGAGCCGGUGGCUGAGCUGGACUGGGUACAGCCUGUCUGACUCGGAAGCCCAGGCUGGAGGGAAGACACAUUUCUUUUGAGUCUCGGGUCCCCCCUCGCCCCUCCCGUGCCACAGCCACCCUGGAGGCUGGAGGACUGGCCAGCUUCAGGGACAGGGAGGGAGAGGCCUCACGCUUCUCAGAGGACGGCUGUCCGUGGUCCACAUGGCACCGCGGGCUCGCCGAUGCGCCUGGCAGGUCCUCUGGGGGAACAGCCCUGCUUCCUGCUUGGCCACCAACCUGCCUGUGACUUGCGGUACCUUCCUGAUCCCGCGGGUCUUCUGUUCUCACCUCGCCAGGGGGAUGGACUCAGAGGUUUGUUUGUUUGUUUUUUCUUUUUAGGGCCGCACCUGCGACACAUGGAAAUUCCCAGGCGAGGGGUUGAAUCUGAGCUGUAGCUGCUGGCCUGCGCCACGGCCAAGCAAUGCAGGGUCCAGGCCGUGUCUGCGACCGACACCACCGCUCCUAGGAACACUGGAUCCUUAACCCACUGAGCAGUUUGUUACUGCUGAGCCACAGUGGGAGCUCCCUGGACUCAGUGAUUUGUAAAGGAACUUCCAGCCCAGGGCCAGGGGUCAAGGGGUCGCAAGGGGAGAGAGAGAUAUUAAGGGCGAGGGUGAACCAUCAAGACAGAGACAGAGAUGGGGGGAGUCUUGGAGGCAGGCCUAGCCCCUUUCUGAUAUUCGUCUCUUUCCGGAAGCUUCUGCAGGCCCCUUGCUGCGGGUGGUGGGUGCAGAGGUGUGUAUCUCCCUCUGUGACUCUGGUGACCCUGCCAUUUGCCUGUCAUCUGGCCUGCUGGGCAGGUCCAUGGGUAGAAGGGCCCGUGGGCCUCCCUCCGUGGCUGUACCUGGCCCCCCUUCCCUGCCUGGGGGAUGGUUCCUGGUAGGGCAGGAGAGUCACCAGAGGACCGUGGAAAUCUAAGCUGUUUCUCAGGAGCAGAGUAGCAGCUGCGUCGGCUCCUCGGCCUGUGGUCAGAGGGGCAGAGACGCUGGGGAACUUUAAUCAAGGCCCUGCUGUGUGCCGGGUACUGGGUGAAGUGCGUUUCCCCGCCUUGGUCUUAUGGUGGAACCUCUGGGCUCAGCUGUGGUGUGGACGCUGAGAGUCGGGGUCCACACAGAGUCCUCCGAGGGUGUGUGGGGUAGUGUGUUCAUUUAUUCACUCCCUCACUCACUCAUUCAUUCAGCGCCGCAUGCUCAGCUGUUCUGAAGACACCCCCCCGCCCUGCCAGCCCUGUCCUGCAGGGUCUGGGGGCAGCGAGGGCUGGAAUUCCAGGUCCGCUUGGAAGUGGGCCAGGGGCUGGCACCACAGAGAUGGUGGCGUGGUCAUGCCCUCAGACCGAGGCCCUCACAAAGCCGUGUAAACCCGAUGCUUCCUCUGGCCAGCAGGACAAGACGCCGAAGCUGCUGGCAGAGGAUGAGACGCCAGGCCACAGGGACCUGGCUUCCUAGGGCCCUUCUGGGACCCACGGUGAACCAGCUCUGCUGGGGUUCCUGAGUGACUUGUUGGGAUGGCUUUGGUUGUGGGGUGGAGGGGGGGGCAGAGUAAACACACGGCCGCCCUGUGGGGAUGCGCCUGAGCGUGCAGGCCCACUCUCAUGCCCUUGGUAUCCUUGGGGUGGGUUGCCGGGGUGGGCAUGGGCAGCUUGGGUAGCCCAGGAGUCCACGAUUCAGGAAUUGGGCUCUAGGGGCUGCUCCCCAAGGCCCCAGGCCUGCCACUGGGCCCUGCUGGGGGUAGGUGCUCAGCAGGUGAAGCCUGCGCCAGACAGGGAGACCUCGGGGGAGGGCCUGGGAGCCCUGGGCGGGGGGUGGGUGGGAGGGAGAGGCCAGAUCCUUGUUCUAGAGAGGAUUUUGAGAGCUGCAGGCUGGGAAGUGCUCCGGCAGGUGUGUGUUUGCUGGGACAGAGGGCCCCAACCGCCUUCCCUCACCCCACUUCCUCUCUCCCUUGCCCUCCUCCCUGACGCCCCCGCAUCCCCUCCACACCUGCCCCUCUGUCCCUCGGUCCUCCACCCCUAUGCCGGUGUGCUCCCCAGGGGCCAGCUCUGUGGGUUAGAAGAUGCUGACAGCAAUGCCCUUCCCAGCAAGAACUUCUGUGUCCACCACGCGCCCAGCUGACGAUGAGGGGGUGGACUGGGGGAGAUGGAAUCCACCCCUCGCCCUCUGACGCCUUGCGCCCAGAGCCCGGGCCAGCCCAUGGGCCUGUCCGGAGGUCAGGCUGGAGGUUUCGGACAUGUCCUGGGCAGCCCAGCCACCCACUGACCGGGAGGCACUGGUCACCUCCCCAGACCCUGGUGUCCUGCUGGGGCCAGGCCCUCCUGAUGGGCAGCCCCGCCUGGCUGGUGGUGGCCCCGGAGGGAUUCUCGGGGUACCUCUGUCCUCAAGAAGGGCUCUUUGGAGAGGAAAAAACACAUUUCAACACCUCCAGAUUCUGAAAAUGGAUUUCUCCCAGGGAAACAGAGACUCCGAGCCCGCUCCCUUCCCUGAGAGAGAGCCAGGAAAACAGCGGGGGAGCAGGGGCGGGGGAGGGGCGGGAGCCUCCGCGAGGGACGAGGAUCCUGGGAACAGACGCGGAGCCAGAGAGAGCUGGAUGCAAAUCCUGCGGGCCAGCGACGCUGCGUGACCCGAGCAUGGGACUUGCCCUCUCUGGCCUCUGCCUUUCGGUUCAGUGGGGUCCUUCUCGCCCCGCCUUCCAAGGGAUGCUUUGAGGAUGCGACGUGGAGAAAGCAGUUCUUCAUUUUCAGGCCUUUUUCAGGAUGAACAGCCUCCCUGAGUCCAGGACGCCAGUGUCCGAAGAUUUCUGAAGGUUGUUGCAUUGAACCCAGGAAGGCUCCAGAGUGCCGGGGACUCUGGAGCCGUGCUUGAAAAUCUGCUGUCCUCUCAGGCUGCUGCCCUGCUGCUCUGCCCGCCGCUCCUGAGUCCCGUCCAAACUGCCUGGCCUGGCCUUCCAGGCCUCCAAGUGGGGCCUCCGCUUCCCUCUUCAGCUCAUCUCCCGCCCCAGCCCGGCCCUGACCCAGUGCACCGGCCACGGAAGCAUCGCAGCCUCGACUCCACGAACGCCAGGCCUGCGAACCGGGACCAUCACCGCUCCAGGAGGCGCCAAUCAAGGCCACUCGGCCGGACUCCGUGUCUGGACCUGGGCCCUGUCUUCUGCCUCCGAGUUCCCGCGCUUCCCGACUAGCCGCGGUUUCUGCACGCGCGCUUCCUCCGCUGGUACCACCCCCUCCCUUUCUGGAACUCCUUCCAGCUCAUCGUCCCAAACCCUAGCUGUCCUUCAAGGCCUGGCCCAGACGUGGCCUCCUGGACCUCCCCCUCCCCCCUGUAGUGUGUUUUGCCUUUUAUUUGUGACCUUGGGUCGCCGAGUUCCCGGGAGGGAGGGGCGAUGGGGGUCUACCGGCAGAGACGGCUAGUGGUCCCCCAGUACUCACUCUCCUCUUCCGAAAGUAAAAGAAGCUCCAAA
RNAcentral lists this long non-coding RNA (4002 nucleotides) under Sus scrofa (pig). RNAcentral's name for it is "lncRNA (ENSSSCG00045025260.1)". Lineage: Eukaryota; Metazoa; Chordata; Mammalia; Artiodactyla; Suidae. The record is from RNAcentral.